GCCUUCGUGGUGUAGUGGUCAGCACGCUCGACGCGUAACCGAGAGGUCCGUGGUUCAAUUCCCGGCGAAGGCA
This is a non-coding RNA of Stegodyphus mimosarum, 73 nucleotides long. Lineage: Eukaryota; Metazoa; Arthropoda; Arachnida; Araneae; Eresidae. The record is from Rfam.